UGCAUCCUGUUACAGGAAAAAGCUCCUGCUUCCUGAAACAACAGGAGGCAGACAGGAAAUAGGGAGAAUCUUGGAGUUUUUAGAUUUAUGGGAAAGACAGCUACCUUCGAGAUAUGCUAUU
This is a long non-coding RNA of Ochotona curzoniae (black-lipped pika), 121 nucleotides long. RefSeq lists it as uncharacterized. The transcript is spliced from 3 exons. The record is from RefSeq and is a predicted model, not a curated record. NCBI's taxonomy places the organism in Eukaryota, Metazoa, Chordata, Mammalia, Lagomorpha, Ochotonidae.